CCGCACUUUCGCCCGCCGGCACUUCCCGGCAAGCCUAGCGCGCGUCCUGAUACUGCGGGCGAGCGCGGGACUUGGCCGCCGACCCUGCGGCCUGGCCCCCAGCGACCCGCCUCUCCUCUUGGCUUUCUCAUUGGCUGGGAGGCAGCCUGGCGCGGACCCUCUGGAUUCUCAUGCCUAGUUAAUAGCAGAGCCUCAGCUGCUUCACCUGCGAAAUGGGGAUUCAGAAAGCUCCGGCUGCUAUGAGAAGCAUAGGAUCUGUCGAAGGACGCAGAUCCUACAGCCCUAAGUGGGCAGAUGCCCCCGAAGUGUCAAGUAUGAGCUGCCUUUUCCAUUGAAGACGCAUUUCCUGUCUGAA
Long non-coding RNA from Lemur catta (Ring-tailed lemur), 355 nucleotides. RefSeq lists it as uncharacterized. The record is from RefSeq and is a predicted model, not a curated record. NCBI's taxonomy places the organism in Eukaryota, Metazoa, Chordata, Mammalia, Primates, Lemuridae. The transcript has 2 exons.